This 796-nucleotide ribosomal RNA is filed under the name uncultured archaeon. RNAcentral's name for it is "bacterial SSU rRNA". It matches the Rfam family "Archaeal small subunit ribosomal RNA", at positions 58 to 860 of the family's 1478-position model. The record is from RNAcentral.
UCAUUGUAGUAAUACAAGGCAGACGGCUCAGUAACGCGUAGUCAACCUACCCUAUGGACGGGGAUAACCUCGGGAAACUGAGAAUAAUACCCGAUAGAACAUUAUACCUGGAAUGGUUUAUGUUUCAAAUAAUUUAUUGCCGUAGGAUGGGACUGCGGCCUAUCAGUUUGUUGGUGAGGUAAUGGCCCACCAAGACUAUUACAGGUACGGGCUCUGAGAGGAGUAGCCCGGAGAUGGGUACUGAGACACGGACCCAGGCCCUAUGGGGCGCAGCAGGCGAGAAAACUUUGCAAUGUGCGAAAGCACGACAAGGUUAAUCCGAGUGGUUUCUGCUAAAGGAACCUUUUGUCAGUCCUAGAAACACUGGUGAAUAAGGGGUGGGCAAGUUCUGGUGUCAGCCGCCGCGUUAAAACCAGCACCUCAAGUGGUCAGGAUGAUUAUUGGGCCUAAAGCAUCCGUAGCCUGCUUUGUUAGUUUUCGGUUAAAUCCAUACGCUUAACGUAUGGGCUGCCGGGAAUACUGCAAAGCUAGGGAGUGGGAGAGGUAGACGGUACUCGGUAGGAAGGGGUAAAAUCCUUUGAUCUAUUGAUGACCACCUGUGGCGAAGGCGGUCUACCAGAACACGUCCGACGGUGAGGGAUGAAAGCUGGGGGAGCAAACCGGAUUAGAUACCCGGGUAGUCCCAGCUGUAAACUAUGCAAACUCGGUGAUGCAUUGGCUUGAUGCCAAUGCAGUGCCGCAGGGAAGCCGUUAAGUUUGCCGCCUGGGAAGUACGUACGCAAGUAUGAAACUUAAA